This 1294-nucleotide long non-coding RNA is filed under the name Phoenix dactylifera (date palm). RNAcentral's name for it is "long non-coding RNA (PDAC_LNC007857)". The record is from RNAcentral. Lineage: Eukaryota; Viridiplantae; Streptophyta; Magnoliopsida; Arecales; Arecaceae.
AUAAUCUACUAUGAGAAACAUCCAAGUACCGAACUCCAUCCAUCACAUUGUUAUUUGGGACCCACCCAAUGUGGUUCCCUGUCAGUGAGAAAGAGUGGGAUUGGGUUUUUUUAGAAGUGGGUACAAAAUUAUCACUAUCUGACAAGCGUGUGGUGGGAGUAUCAGGCAGCAUGAGCAUGGCUUAUUUUAAGUGCGAGCACCUCUCUUUUCAUCCACUAAUAUAGUUUAUCAUUGUGGUAGAAAAGAUUGAUAUAGUAUACGGUUAGAGGAGAGUGAACUACAAUAUUAAGGUUAAAGAUCUCAUGGACCCUGCAAACCCAACAGCAAAAUCUCAGAAUCAUCGUCUAAAUCAUGUGCCCGCAAUAGGAUGAGAAAACAUGGAGGCAAAGAUCUGAACAACAGACCCCUAAAAGCCCAACAAGUUAAACUUCAUCAACUUGCAUACCCAGAGAUUAGAACUUCCAAAGCAUCAUUAAACUAAUAAAAGCAGCUGCUGAUGCAGGCAGAUAACACGCAGUUUUCACUUUCCAUGUGGACAAGAAUCGCAUGACACUCCAUCAAUCCCAAUACCAAAAGCAACAAUUAAUACACCAUCCAUUAAAAUAAUAACGUUAAAUAACAUUUAAAAACAGCUUAACAAGACUGACAUAGUAUACAGGCAGCAAAUAAAUGAAAACGAGAUGGAAAGAAUGAUUAGUUUAAACAUGAACGAAAGCUUAACAGCAGGAGAAAGAUGAAUCCAAUGGCCAAUAUCAUUCCUAAUAUCCCCGUGCAUUAUUAGACCAGCAACUAGGAAAUUAGUUUCAAACUUAAAGCCCAUAAUUAAGACCAACAACAACAAAGAAGACAAACCUCAUAUCAAAUAUCCAUUAAAGAAAAGUAGGGGGGGGGAGAAAAACUGAAGGUCUUCAUUCCUCUCGCAUAUCUACUGUCUCCUCUCCUCUGCCAUGCAUCACUCGAUUUUCUCCCAGUAGAUCUAAAAACGGAAUCUAACAAGACAGGUCAAAAAACCACCGAGUUUCACUGCUAAGUGCUAACAACAACAUUUUUCUGGAAGAAAAAGGUGACUAACAAGAUUAAAAACAAGAACAGCAGCUGCAACAUGUUUCAUGACUCUCCCUAGCUAGUUUCUCUUCAAAGACCGCUGCAUCUCGUUAAGGUUCAAGAGGAAGGAGAACCGUUCACAGCUAAAUUGUUGCCGCCCCUAGUGUCGCCGCCGCUGCCAAGGCCAUUCCCCUCGUCGCCGCCAUCUCCGCCGCCGCCGCCGCCGCUGCCGCCACUGCCGCUGCCGNNN